CUGGAGGAGAAAGAUUCUCAGUGCCGAGGCAUCAUAUGAGAAUCUUUUGUUGUGGAGUCUAUGGCCAGCCCUAUUCCAAAGCACAGAGUCGUAGAAACCAACUGUGGGAGGAAAAGAGAGCAUUCAGAAUAUAUUAGCUGAAAGGCUUCCUUCUUCACCUCUCUCUUCGGCUCUGGCAGACAAAAUGCUGUCAGCAUCUGGGUGCCCACAUAAACAGCUGUCUACAUGAAACAAGGCAGGAGGCCCAUAUCAAGUAAUGAAGAUGGAAUGCAUUAAUUACAUCAUGGAAUGACAGUCACCAUCAUUUUGUUGUUUACUAUCUCUGCUAACUUUUCAUGAGAAUUACUAUCUCUGCUAAAUUGCCAUGAGAAGUUCAAAGGUCAAAGAGUCAGGUUCUUGAGAUCAGAGACACCUUGGUUUCACAAAGGAGAUUCUCAAUGAUGUUUCUGGAAGACAGCCAGUCAGUAUGAAGAAGAAGAUCCAGGGUUCCAUCUCCUCACUGAACCCCUCCAGGAUAUUGUGACUAGAAGAACCUCUCCCCUUCUUCUCGGGCUCCCUGCCAGUCUUGCUCUGCAUGUGUGGCACAGGGCACUUUAAAAUGAAUCUAUAGAUUUCUCCAAAAGGGAAAAAUCUUUAAUGCUGGACAACAGGUGAUGGGGCAACUGGAGAAACAGUCAUUUCUUACGAAAGUGAAUUUCCAGGCAGCUGAUCCCACCGUGGAGCAGGUUGUAUUUAUCCUUGAAAUGUCAUCCUUCUUUAGUCUGUAAAUAUCAUACUAUAGAAAACACCUUAGCACUGGCUUUCGAAGGAGACAGAGACAAUGUUGUAUGGCAGUUUACUGUCAACUAAAGGACAAUGCUUCUCUCUUGGAUUUAAUAAAAUGGGAAGGGGGCUGGGCUACU
Odocoileus virginianus texanus is the source of this 902-nucleotide long non-coding RNA. RefSeq lists it as uncharacterized. The record is from RefSeq and is a predicted model, not a curated record. Lineage: Eukaryota; Metazoa; Chordata; Mammalia; Artiodactyla; Cervidae.